This 3869-nucleotide long non-coding RNA is filed under the name Gallus gallus (chicken). The record is from RNAcentral. Lineage: Eukaryota; Metazoa; Chordata; Aves; Galliformes; Phasianidae.
GCUAUUACAAGAAGUAUCUGUGGCAUGUAUUUGUCAGAAGACAAAGCAAUAAGUGUUUCUCUUCAUCAUAUGAUGCGAGUCUGCACUGUGCAAGAGAUCUAGAAUCGAUAUUUACUAGCUCUACCAAAACACAAAACAUUCAAGUAGUAUAUAACUGUAAUGCAAGCCCUUGCAUGGCAAUCCAAAUUUAUUGAACUACUGAUGCUAAGUCAUACAAAAUUGCACCACUUUAAUUAAGGCUUUUAGUUUACAUUUGGCCACCUCAAAGCAGUUGUAACAUUAGGUUGGUCAAUUUAAAUACUGUGGCUCCCUGUUGGAUAUACACACAAUCUUUACACCCAAACGUUAAUGCAUACAAAGCAACAAGGCAUUGUUAAAUAAAUCAGCAAAAAGUUAAUUACUGCAACUUAGGCCCUGUGACCAAUUACACAUGAUUAAAAUUACUUCCCACAUUCACAUCCACAGUACUCUUCCACCAUUUAACAUCUCAACCAAAACGUUACACAUGUAAAACAAUCACUAACAGGCAAAAGUACUAAACCUGUAUAUUUGGUAUUGCAAAUACACUUAUGCAUGAGCAAGCAAGGGAAUUCACAGUGAGAAUCUACAGCUGCAGAAGCCCGAAAAUGAUUUACAAAAAAUUGUUAAAUCAUUAAAAAAUCGUUUUAAAAUAUACACUUCUUGUUGUAGACCCCCACUGUACACACAACUAUAAACAUUGUUCCCUAUGUAAACAAGGAAAAGGAAACAUACAAUAAAAGGUUGAAAAGUCUGGACAUUUCCUUCCCAACAGAUAUUAAAGGCCAUGUCUUUAGUCAGACGUUAUACUGAAAGGACUCUUAAAGACUAGAUCACUGUCUCCACAGGUUUUUCCUAAAAUUAAAAAACUAUAUAGCUGUUGUGUUAAUCAAAGCGCUUUUGUACAAUACCAUGAUGAUGAUCCUGUAUUUCUUUAAAAAAGUUACAAUAAGCUACAAAUACCGAUGAAGCAAAGUUAUCUGGAGUAGUCUAUAUAGGAGCUCUUUGGACUUUCUUUUAUUAUGCUAAAAUAGUGGUGCUUUUAGGAUUUACAUUAUUGUACUCUCCAAUAGAAAGUGGGGAUUGUUGAAGUAUACAGUACACAGUUUUCAUACAUGUACAACAUUGGUGGAUGAACAAUGUCUCUUAUCAGUAAUACUGGAUGUAGGCUCUGGUUUUACCAGUUGCAUACACUUAGAAUAUUUAUAAGUAAAAAUCUCUCGUGACACUGGAAAGUGAUUAGAAUGUGCAAACUGAUGUAGUAGCUUUCAUCCAUUUCUUAAAGGGUACCACCACAGGAAAGUCCAUUUAAGAUGUUGGUAGGUUUAAUAAAGUUGGAAUGCUGGCACUGUUGAAUUGGGCAACAGUUCUUCAGACCUGGCUCAGAGCUACAGUACAGCUAUGUAUUAAAGUAGCUGACAUGAUGACUUUUUGCGUGCUUUUCCAGGCACUGGAGUUUUUCUGUUAAUUUGUCGCACAAGGUCAUAAAAGAUCUCAUUAACAUUUAUCUUUGAUUUUGCAGAGGACUCUAAGAAUGCACAAUUAUUCCAUUGCCUUGCUAGGUUCUGACCUUGUUCCUUUCCCACAACUCUUUCAUCUUCCAAGUCACACUUAUUGCCAACCAGAAUCAUAGGCACAUCAUCAGUGUCUUUGACUCGAAGAAUCUGUUCUCUUAGAUCCUGUAAAUCAUUAAACGUAGACUGUGCUGUGAUGGAAUAUACUAAUGCAAAACCUUGUCCAUUUUUCAUGUAUAGGUCUCUCAUUGCUGUAAACUGUUCUGUUCCUGCAGUAUCUAAGAUUUCAAGCAUACACUGUUGCGCAUCUACUUCAACUUGCUUUCUGUAGGAGUCUUCUAUCGUAGGAUCGUAUUUUUCAACAAAUAUUCCUUGAACAAACUGUACAGUCAGAGCAGACUUUCCAACACCUCCAGAACCAAGAACCACUAGCUUGUAUUCACGCAUGGUGCAAGAGAGAAAUCGCCCUCAAUACCGGACAGCGCCUCCACUCCCCGCCGCCGCCGCCGCCGCCGUCGCCUCGCCGGCCGAGCCCGCUGCGCUCCGCCCGCUGCCUCUCGCUGCUGUGCCGGGGCGCGGCUUGGGGCCGUCGCCGUGACGCCGCACGCCCAGCCUCGCUCUGGCGCGGCGGGGGCGGGGGCGGUGCGGAGGGGUGGGCUGACCCCGUCGCCGCGUCCCCACUGCGCAGGCGCGGGGCCCUCCCCCACCCCCAUCCCGCCGGCCCCCCCCCGCCGGGCCCCGCGCGAUGCCCUGAGGGGCGGCCCGGCCCCGGGCGUCGGGCGUGUGUCGGCCUCGGGGCGGGGAGGGGUCGGACGGCACUGUGCUGACUGGAAACCGCUCUGGGGCGGCUGUGCGGUCUCCCGGCGGCAAGAAGGGAAGGAGGGGGCGGAGGAGGCCGGCCUGGGUGUGGCGGGCUGGGAGCUCGCAUCCCCUGAGAGGGGACGUUGGUACCUGGGGAUGGAGCGUCCGGGACACAAUGAGCCUUAAGGAAGGAGCGUGGGCCUCAACCGUGUCGGGGGAGGUUCCGAAGCUUCGCACUCAUGGCAGCGCGUAGCGGUCCCUUGUCUGACGGGAGCCGUGGGGGAAGGAGGAUCGCUGAGGCGGUGUUUCUGACCUCUCCGAAAGGCUUUUGAGACCCGCGGACGGGGGGUGCUUCGGAAAUGUGGCACGCUGCUAUAGGCUGUUACUCCAUGGGCUGUUACACCUCUGGGUGCCCUCGUCAGCCCCACACCUACAACGUGGGGCAUCCGCCGCCUGCAAAUACGCUCCUCGGCCCUUCUUUUCCUUCACCUUUAAAUAACAUAAGGCACAUUUUACUCUCCCUGAGCACCACUUACAUUUUUCUAGCCAGAAAGGGUCUAACUGACAACUGUUCGAAAUACCCAUUUCUGCGUGCGGGAAGCAAAGAGUUAACGCGGGGCGCGCAGAUAAAACUUUUGCCAGAGGAAGCGGCGUGGUGUGCGGGGCUGACAGGAAGCUGCAGCAGAGGCUGCUGGCGAGGGGAGUGGGUGUGGAGGAAGCACGGCCGCUCCGUUUGUGGCACAGAGAUAGAAAAGGGAAAAAGCGAUGACAUUUACCCCCGUUGCACGCCGGAGUGGGCCCGGCUGAAAAGGGAGACGCACAGCGUGGAGUGGGUGCGUGGGAGAGGCCGGAGGUCGGAGCCAACGGAGCCAAAGCAGCCACUGGGAUGUGCUGCUUUGGUAGGAGCAGCUUUGUCGAGGCUCAGGGCACCGAGAAAGUGACACGUUUUAAAAAUGAGCGUUGCUUUUAAAUCCUAGACGUCAUAAAAUCUCUUCCAAAGUCCAGACAAAUCUCUUGGUGUUGUGCAGCUUAAACCCUCAUGCAGUACUUUGAUAAUGAAUCCCCGUAAGUGACGGUUAAUGCGCAAGAGCUGAUGUUGUGAGAAGCGGAGUGUGCAGAAAUGCAGUCGGUUUUCAGCAGGGCAUCCAUUGUGGGGCAGAGAUGUUGAAAUAGAUGGUGUCUGUCUGAAAUGUGAACCAGAAGAACAUCUCUUGCCUGUGUUAGCUGGAAAGUUUACGUACUCACCAAACAGAAGCAGCGUCGGUUUCUUCAGGCUUCUCUGUCAUUAGAUAUUAUUAUCAGCUCCCAGCAAUAAGCAUGACACCGAUAAAAAGGACAAACAGGAAGAUGUAUCCUCUGCCCUCCCAACUUCUAGAUCAGACCUAGAUUAAUCGCAAAUAACAAGCAGUGUUCAGAGAGCAGAUGAGUGCCAUUGCCAGAGCAAUACUUUGCAGUGUGCCUUUAACUGCCCUGUGCCUUACAGGCAGCAUGGUGAGUAUUGUUCUUUGCAGUGCAACAAGAAAACAGGAAGGGGCC